This 485-nucleotide ribosomal RNA is filed under the name uncultured bacterium. RNAcentral's name for it is "bacterial SSU rRNA". It matches the Rfam family "Bacterial small subunit ribosomal RNA", at positions 28 to 526 of the family's 1533-position model. The record is from RNAcentral.
GACGAACGCUGGCGGCGUGCUUAACACAUGCAAGUCAAGGGGGCUCGCAAGAGCAACCGGCGAACGGGUGCGUAACACGUGAGCAACCUGCCUUAGUGUGGGGGAUAGCCGGCCCAACGGCCGGGUAAUACCGCAUACGCUCACCGGGUGGCAUCACCUGGUGAAGAAACUUUCGAGGCACUAAGAGGGGCUCGCGGCCUAUCAGCUUGUUGGUGGGGUAAUGGCCUACCAAGGCACGACGGGUAGCUGGUCUGAGAGGAUGGCCAGCCACAUUGGGACUGAGAUACGGCCCAGACUCCUACGGGAGGCAGCAGUGGGGAAUAUUGCGCAAUGGGCGAAAGCCUGACGCAGCGACGCCGCGUGGGGAUGAAGCAUUUCGGUGUGUAAACCCCUGUUGCUCGGGACGGAAAACUGGUUUUGACCAGUCUGACGGUACCGAGUGAGGAAGCACCGGCUAACUCCGUGCCAGCAGCCGCCGCAGUAAC